This 468-nucleotide ribosomal RNA is filed under the name uncultured bacterium. RNAcentral describes it as "partial 16S ribosomal RNA". It matches the Rfam family "Bacterial small subunit ribosomal RNA", at positions 28 to 507 of the family's 1533-position model. The record is from RNAcentral.
GAUGAACGCUGGCGGCGUGCUUAACACAUUCAAGUCGAACGGAAAGGCCCAAGCUUGCUUGGGUACUCGAGUGGCGAACGGGUGAGUAACACGUGGGUGAUCUGCCCUGCACUUCGGGAUAAGCCUGGGAAACUGGGUCUAAUACCGGAUAGGACGAUGGUUUGGACGCCAUUGGGGAAAGUUUUUUCGGUGUGGGAUGAGCUCGCGGCCUAUCAGCUUGUUGGUGGGGUAAUGGCCUACCAAGGCGUCGACGGGUAGCCGGCCUGAGAGGGUGUACGGCCACAUUGGGACUGAGAUACGGCCCAGACUCCUACGGGAGGCAGCAGUGGGGAAUAUUGCACAAUGGGCGCAAGCCUGAUGCAGCGACGCCGCGUGGGGGAUGACGGCCUUCGGGUUGUAAACUCCUUUCGCUAGGGACGAAGCGUUUUUGUGACGGUACCUGGAGAAGAAGCACCGGCUAACUACGUG